Molecule: non-coding RNA, 117 nt
Filed under: Acholeplasma brassicae
Lineage: Bacteria; Bacillati; Mycoplasmatota; Mollicutes; Acholeplasmatales; Acholeplasmataceae
Also listed under: 1 other name
Description: FMN riboswitch aptamer (RFN element)
Rfam family: FMN riboswitch aptamer (RFN element)
About the family: The RFN element is a highly conserved domain that is found frequently in the 5'-untranslated regions of prokaryotic mRNAs that encode for flavin mononucleotide (FMN) biosynthesis and transport proteins. This element is a metabolite-dependent riboswitch that directly binds FMN in the absence of proteins.
Source: Rfam by way of RNAcentral
UUAAUACUUCGGGGCAAGGUGUGAUUCCUUGAUCGGCGGUUAUAGUCCGCGAACCUACGGGUUGAGCUAGUGUAAUUCUAGUACCGACAGUUAUAGUCUGGAUGGGAGAAGAAAUGU